GCUCAGAUUGAACGCUGGCGGCAGGCCUAACACAUGCAAGUCGAGCGGAUGAAGGGAGCUUGCUCCUGGAUUCAGCGGCGGACGGGUGAGUAAUGCCUAGGAAUCUGCCUGAUAGUGGGGGAUAACGUCCGGAAACGGGCGCUAAUACCGCAUACGUCCUGAGGGAGAAAGUGGGGGAUCUUCGGACCUCACGCUAUCAGAUGAGCCUAGGUCGGAUUAGCUA
RNAcentral lists this ribosomal RNA (223 nucleotides) under Pseudomonas aeruginosa. RNAcentral's name for it is "partial 16S ribosomal RNA". It matches the Rfam family "Bacterial small subunit ribosomal RNA", at positions 22 to 247 of the family's 1533-position model. The record is from RNAcentral. Lineage: Bacteria; Pseudomonadati; Pseudomonadota; Gammaproteobacteria; Pseudomonadales; Pseudomonadaceae.